GCAGCCGUAGCCGAGUGGUUAAGGCGAUGAGCUAGAAAUCCAUUGGGGUCUCCCCGCACAGGUUCAAAUCCUGUCGACGGCG
Non-coding RNA from Ixodes scapularis (black-legged tick), 82 nucleotides. NCBI's taxonomy places the organism in Eukaryota, Metazoa, Arthropoda, Arachnida, Ixodida, Ixodidae. The record is from Rfam.